GGGGAAGUGGUGGAAUGGCAGACACGCAUGAUUUAGGAUUAUGUGCCUUACGGCGUGAGGGUUCGACUCCCUCCUUCCCCA
Molecule: transfer RNA, 81 nt
Filed under: Anaerolineaceae bacterium 4572_78
Lineage: Bacteria; Bacillati; Chloroflexota; Anaerolineae; Anaerolineales; Anaerolineaceae
Also listed under: 1 other name
Description: tRNA-Leu
Rfam family: tRNA
About the family: Transfer RNA (tRNA) molecules are approximately 80 nucleotides in length. Their secondary structure includes four short double-helical elements and three loops (D, anti-codon, and T loops).
Source: RNAcentral